AUUGAACGCUGGCGGAAUGCUUUACACAUGCAAGUCGAACGGCAGCACGGACUUCGGUCUGGUGGCGAGUGGCGAACGGGUGAGUAAUACAUCGGAACGUGCCCAGUCGUGGGGGAUAACGUAGCGAAAGCUACGCUAAUACCGCAUACGAUCUAAGGAUGAAAGCGGGGGAUCGCAAGACCUCGCGCGAUUGGAGCGGCCGAUGGCAGAUUAGGUAGUUGGUAGGGUAAAGGCCUACCAAGCCGACGAUCUGUAGCUGGUCUGAGAGGACGACCAGCCACACUGGGACUGAGACACGGACCAGACUCCUACGGGAGGCAGCAGUGGGGAAUUUUGGACAAUGGACGAAAGUCUGAUCCAGCCAUUCCGCGUGCAGGAUGAAGGCCCUCGGGUUGUAAACUGCUUUUGUACAGAACGAAAAGGCUCUGGUUAAUACCUGGGGCUCAUGACGGUACUGUAAGAAUAAGCACCGGCUAACUACGUGCCAGCCGCCGCGGUAA
This 500-nucleotide ribosomal RNA is filed under the name uncultured bacterium. RNAcentral's name for it is "partial 16S ribosomal RNA". It matches the Rfam family "Bacterial small subunit ribosomal RNA", at positions 30 to 523 of the family's 1533-position model. The record is from RNAcentral.